UGGGGAAUAUUGCGCAAUGGGGGCAACCCUGACGCAGCAAUGCCGCGUGAGUGAGGAAGGCCUUCGGGUUGUAAAGCUCUGUCCUUAGGGAAAAAUGACGGUAAGGUGAACAUCCUUAUCGAGUGAUGGUACCUAAGAAGAAAGCACCGGCUAACUUCGUG
Molecule: ribosomal RNA, 161 nt
Filed under: uncultured bacterium
Lineage: Bacteria
Description: partial 16S ribosomal RNA
Rfam family: Bacterial small subunit ribosomal RNA
Source: RNAcentral